AAAAACACUUUGACGGAGAGAGUAUACCAUUUCUGUUCAUGCUGACAGAGAGCCGGGGACAGGUGAAAGCCCGACGCAAGGAAACGGUAGAAAAUCACUCCUGAGUGGCAGACCGAACGGUUUUACCAAGUAGACUCUGUCGUGUCCCGCGUUAAGGGAACGCAUCAUAAUGGUGAUGCAAUAAGGUGGACGGCGUUUUGUGCCGUCAAAUCAGGUGGUACCGCGAGCCCAUUCGUCCUGUGU
Molecule: non-coding RNA, 243 nt
Filed under: Bacillota bacterium
Lineage: Bacteria; Bacillati; Bacillota
Description: Firmicutes bacterium T-box sequence
Rfam family: T-box leader
About the family: Uncharged tRNA acts as the effector for transcription antitermination of genes in the T-box leader family. T-boxes are found upstream of many aminoacyl-tRNA synthetase genes and some amino acid biosynthetic genes usually in Gram-positive bacteria.
Source: RNAcentral